GCAGCAACGCCGCGUGAGUGAUGAAGGUUUUCGGAUCGUAAAGCUCUGUCUUUGGGGAAGAUAAUGACGGUACCCAAGGAGGAAGCCCGGCUAACUACGUGCCAGCAGCCGCGGUAAUACGUAGGUGGCGAGCGUUAUCCGGAUUUACUGGGCGUAAAGGGAGCGUAGGCGGAUGAUUAAGUGGGAUGUGAAAUACCCGGGCUCAACUUGGGUGCUGCAUUCCAAACUGGUUAUCUAGAGUGCAGGAGAGGAGAGUGGAAUUCCUAGUGUAGCCGGUGAAAUGCGUAGGAGAUUAGGAAGAACA
RNAcentral lists this ribosomal RNA (304 nucleotides) under Clostridium perfringens. RNAcentral's name for it is "bacterial SSU rRNA". It matches the Rfam family "Bacterial small subunit ribosomal RNA", at positions 388 to 708 of the family's 1533-position model. The record is from RNAcentral. Lineage: Bacteria; Bacillati; Bacillota; Clostridia; Eubacteriales; Clostridiaceae.